UGAGUAAAUAGUGGGGAGAAGAGGAAAAAAAUUGGGAUUGCUAAAGAAGAAAGGAGCUGUUUUUUCUUGAUAUUAAUCCAGAAUGAGGAGCAGGGUUUAGAGCUGGCUCAGGAAGGCAGAGUUACCUGUGCUCUGCUCCUGGCAGAGGGAACACAUACAAGUUAUUGGGAUAUAAUAUUCUCACUGAUUAGGUAAUAGCAUGGCAAAGCAAGGAAAAUAUUUUAUGGCAAACUUAAAUAGCAGUGGAUUCAGGUUCAGCAGGACAGGGGAUUAAGAGAAGGGACUUCAUCUGGUCAGGGUAGAUAGUGGCCAUUAACCUGUCCUCUGGAGGAUGUGCUGAGCCUGAAUAACAGGAGUGUAUUUGUGUGUGUGUAUGAGUUUCCCUAGCUUGUUUUUCUAAUCUAUUGUAGUCUCAAGCAAUUCUUAAAUUGUGGCUUCCUUCUUCCUUGCCUCACUCCCUCCCCCAUCUGUUUUCCUUUAGUCUGCUUAUGGGCUUAUAAGUAGGAAAUAGAAUUAAUCAACUGCUUACGCUAUAUGUGAAAAGGUGACAUACCUAAAUCUAAUUAUGCAGGAGAAGUUAAUGAAUGCCACCUCACUGGUGCAUUGCCAUCAGCAAUGCCCACCCUGUUUUCUUUGCAUUUCUUACAGGGCCUGCAGUGUAGGCAGGAGAGGGGAAAACUAUUCCAUUCUAAAUGCUGUAAAAUAUAAAUACUGUAAAAUUAGACAGCCAUAUAUUUUACUUUUCCUGGUAGCAAAUUUGCAGGAAAGCAAGUGAUAUAAAAUAAUAAUACUGUAAUAAACCAUCUCAUCUAUUGUUGUGAAUUUAGAGUGCUCAAACUUAGAUAAGAUCUGUACUAAUUAGAAUGCUGCAGCCAAACCUUCCCUGCUACUGGUACAACACUGAUAAAUCCCAAUGCAAAUUUGUAAAAAAAGUGUUGAUUCAUUUCUUAAGUGCAUCUUUUUUAAGCCAUGCAGUUUUUUGGAAGUGUACUGGGAUUUCUUUUGAAGCACAUCUUGACUUUUAAUAAAUAUAUCAAAAGUACUUUAAAAUAUAUCAUAGCUAAUUCUGCUCUCCCACAAAUCCAUCACUUUUUAUUGCCUUUUAACUAAUUCACCCUUUUCCACAGCCGAGAGGAAAUGGUUUAAAUCUCUUGAUGGUAUGUUUUUCUUUCAAUUUUUCUGGUUGUAAAUGUUUAGGGGGGAAAAAUCACCUAAUAUAUCACUGUUAAAAGAAAGGACAGAAAUGUGUUCCUCGUGGCACCUUGGCUAACUGGACUGUAAUAUAUCCAAAGAUACCAGGUAAAAGGGCAAUGCUGGGGCAGCUCACAGUGCACCAAGGUGAUUUAGGAAAUGGCUGGCUGAUUCCUGGGAUGGAGAGGUGCAGGACUAAAAUCCAGCCCUGACAAAACCCUGGGAUCUCACCUGGACUUUGUUUGCAUUGCAAUCUCUUGCAUUUCUGCUGUUUCCUGUGAGCACUUCUGGGCUGUUUGUGCAGGAAGAGAAAUACCUGCAAGUCCAAGUGAGGUGCUUGGACCUUUAAUUGCAUUCAGUUAAUGCUUGGCAAGUGUCCUAUGAUUUGCAAAAAUCAUCUGUUCCUUAAUCCUCUUCAGUGCCAAGGGUUAUUAGGAAGGGACUGCAAAGAAGAUGAGAAAUUGGAACGUUUGUAUGUUGUGGAAUGAAUGAGAGAAUCCUCAAGUGGCUUAAGAAUGAUUGGAGUUUUUCUUUUAACCUGUGGUAACAUUUGGAUUAUCAAAACAAGUGUUAUAAAAAUUGAAGAUGACCUCUAGCUGAGCAAUGCUUUCCCUUAAACCUUGGGAAAAAGCACAGAGAAAUGACAGCAGGAGCUGACUGCUGCCCAUUGCCACAGCACUGAGGUGGAUGCACAGAGCUCUGCUGGGGUUUAAGACACAGUCUGAGUGAGUUUCUUUUCUCAUAUGCACACCUAAGAUAUGUCUCCAAGGCACAUGUGUGAGAUUUCCCACUUUUUGCUCUCUGAAAACUUUGCAAUCUGUUGCACAGUUCACAAGGGGAGGAGGAAAAGCUUUAUUUCAUGGAAAGGAGCGAGGCAAUGAGUUAAGAGCUGUCAUUUUGGGCUUGCCAUCCUUGCUCUUAGUGCCCAGGCCGAAUAGCUGCAGGGUUUCUGGGCUGCUGCAAACAGCAUUAGCAGCUGGCUCUGAGCUGUGAUGGACAGCUGAUAGGUGUUUCACAAAUGAGCUGCUCUGCAUUGAUGCACUCUCUGUGAGCCCAGCUCCAGCGGCUGGGAGGAUGUGUGUGAGAGGGGAAGGGAAAAUGUCAGCAAGGCUGCUGGAUGCACACGUUAAUUUGCACUAAUCUGUCUGGGAGGAGCUGUGCCUGCAGCUCUGCAGCCUGUGAUGCACAGCGAGGAGCUGCCUUAUCAGGCACGGAGCCACACGCUCCUGGCAGUGUUCCAGGGGCUUCUCAUUGAUCAAACAGGGGCUUGCACACAGGAAACAACUUUAAAGGGAGAUAUUGUAUGCCAGGGAGCUUUAAAGUUACUCCUUUUCCCCGUAGUUAUACAAUUAUGAAUUCUGUAACGUGCACCGUGCUGCAGUACAAUGACAGUAACACAAUUUUGGUUCAGCUUGCAGAUAAGAUGUGGUGGGAGCUGAGAUUUCCAGACUCAGACACGCUUUUGAGAUAUCACUGGGUUACCAAAGCUGCUUGAUUUACGAGGAAGUUGGAGUAAAGCACGGGAUACCUGGACUAAUUACUGGAAGAAAGCAGCCUGAGGUGCUGAUUAGCAUCCAGCACCAGCUGGCAGGUAAAUUUCCAAGGCUUCUGUCCAGAAACAGGAAUUUGGAAAGCAUGGAGAAUAAACAACCUGUAAGCAUCAAAAUCUGCAAACAGACCUUUAUUCUCACUGCUGCAUCCAUUUCUGCCUUGAGGCAGUGAAGAGAGCUCCUGUUUGCUCUGCAUCCCUGCACAGUUCCACUGAAAUUGAAUCAUCUCCAAUGUAUCUGCUAAACCCUGGCUAAAGACAAGAAGGUCUGAACACAGCAAGAACUCAGUAAUGAAGUACCCAGGAGAAAUUGUGGAAGGAAGAAGCAAUGGAGCUGAGAGUGAGCACCAACCUGGUCAGCAGAUCAGAAGUUAUGUUCAGCUCCCAGCAUCCUGCCUGUCAGCCUGGAAUGCUGCUGGAAAUUCCAUGCAGUUGUGCUGCCUUCACAGCAAAGCCUCCAGCCAGAUGAAAUUUGUAUGUGUGAGGAGUCUGUGCUGGGUGGAAACACCUGGAAUACUGCAGGUACCUCUUGGUUGAAGAACAAGCAUCCACAAAUAAAUGUAAUUUUGAAUUGUCCCAUUGACUGACCAACAGCCCCUUUCCUGUUGGGGCUCAGCAGUGCUGCUCUUCCCUGCACAGACACCGUGUAGGCUGAAAAUUAAAUGAGAAGACAAAAAAAUCACCUUAAACAUACAGUGUUCCCUACAGGUUUGUGUUUAUGCAACAGAGAGAGCCAAGGAGAAGAUAUGACCCAUGUACUCUGGUUAUAGAGCUAUCAUCUUAUGGAAAUUUAAUGGUUUGGUAAUCCUGGGUUCUCCUUUGGGACUCUGGCCUGUGUCUGUGUUGAUAUUUGAAGCUGCAGGAGCUGAGGCCUAAACCAAGUUCUUCAAACAAAAUGCCGUAACAUUGCCAAGGCAAAGGGAAUAACUGUGGUGGAAGAUACACGGAAAAGCAAAUUCAGUGAGUAGAGAAGUUGUAGCUACUCAGACAUGGGAAGGGAAGAACAUUCACUGAAGAAGCAGAGUGGAACUCUCCUCCAUUUAAAUGUACUCACUGACUGAAGUGGGAAUCCAGAGGAAUUUUCCUUCAGAUAUAACAAUAACAUUUUGAUAUAUGGAAAUGCUGUCUCCAACACAAAAAUAGCUGGUACUUCUCUACUAUUCCUGCGUCAAUAAAGCUGCUAUUGAACCUUUUGUGUUAAUUCAAAGAUCAGCAAAACUUACUAGGAGCCAGGAAUUACUUAAUAAUAACAGAAUAAGUGUGACUAAGUAAAAAGGGCCUAAAAGAGAGCUCAGAAAGCUAAAAAUACAAUUAAAGAGAGAUGAUUAGAAACCACUGAAUGAUAUUAAAAAGUGGUGAAGCAUUGGUUUUGGAGCAGAAAACCUUUCUGACAGAAAUACCAGUAUAAGUUUACAAAAGCUGUUUACUACACAAAAUGCUGGAAGCAUUGAUGAAAUAGCCAAAUUUAUGGAAUCACUAGAAAUUCAGUGCAAGCCAGAAAAAUUGUUUGGUGAGAGUCCUCCAAGAAAUGCAUGCCAUUUCUAACUCCUGUUAGUGCUGGGUGCUGUGGGACUUGGAGUUCUGAGCAAGAUAUAAUUAGAAAGCAACACAAGCCUCAGGAGUCGUUCCUCUUUCAGCUAUUUCUAAGGGCACCUUUAAUUGGCAAUAUUCAAAUACAAACUCCUCCAGAUAUGACUAAUGACACAGUCUUCAACUCUCUCCUAAAUUAUUCCAAGUUUCUCAGUGAAAGAUAAUUUUAGUGUGAGCUGGUUAUCUCCAUUUAGAAUAAUAAGAGAGCAACUUGGGUAGAUUCUGAGCUAAAUCUUCUUGCAAACUGGUUUGCAAUGAAAGGGAGAGAAAAGUAGCUCAUUAUCAGCAACAGAAAGACUUUUGGAAAGCUUCAACACAUUCAUAAGACUCUGAACAUGGAAAAAGAUGUCCUGGCUAAACAUAAUUUGUCAAGGAUGUCUGACUCUAUCACCAGUUUCUACACAUAAUGAAAAUUUACCAUUCUUUCAUUAGACACUAGAAUCAAAAGGAUAAGAAAACUUACAACAAAUUCCUUAUUUUCUAAAGAGCUCUUAUGACUACUCAGGAUGCAGUGACUUUGAGCAGUAACUUUCUCUUAUUGUAUAUUUAUGAAGCAGAUUAAUUUCCAAAAUGCAAAUGCAUUUCCCCUAUCUUGUUUUCCUUUUUGCCAUCGGGUAAAAUAUCUUCUGAAUGCCAUUUGUUCAAAAAAUUAUCUCAGACAAACUGAAAUUAACACCUGUGGAAACUUCAUGCUACCUUAGUAUAGUAUUUAUAAUAUAUAAUAUAGAGUUUCUGGAGUUGGUGGUAUAUCCUUCAAAAGGUAAAACACCCCUAGUAUUAUAUGAAAAAACAGUAUUAUAUGAAAAAGUAUUAUAUGA
Molecule: long non-coding RNA, 5148 nt
Organism: Zonotrichia albicollis (white-throated sparrow)
Lineage: Eukaryota; Metazoa; Chordata; Aves; Passeriformes; Passerellidae
Source: RefSeq, a predicted model, not a curated record